UACGUAGGGGGGCAAGCGUUUGUCCGGAUUUAUUGGGCGUAAAGAGCUCGUAGGUGGUUCGGUAAGUCGGAUGUGAAAUCUCCAGGCUCAACCUGGAGGGGGUCAUUCGAUACUGCCGUGACUAGAGGUCGGUAGGGGAGUGUGGAAUUCCUGGUGGAGCGGUGAAAUGCGCAGAUAUCAGGAGGAACACCGAUGGCGAAGGCAGGUCUCUGGGCAUUAACUGACGCUGAGGAGCGAAAGCAUGGGGAGCGAACAGG
This 257-nucleotide ribosomal RNA is filed under the name uncultured bacterium. RNAcentral's name for it is "partial 16S ribosomal RNA". It matches the Rfam family "Bacterial small subunit ribosomal RNA", at positions 524 to 776 of the family's 1533-position model. The record is from RNAcentral.